CUCCUCUCUCGCUCUCCCUUCAGAUUGGUGGUACCCAUAUCAGGACAUCCUUACAAGCACGUUAUCUUGGCGUUACUUUUGAUUCUGGCCUCACCUUUGAGCCUCAGAUCCGGUCUGUUGUGAAAUCAUGCCAAUUCCACCUUAAAAAUAUUGCCUGCAUCCGCCCCUUUCUUACACAAGAUACUACUAAAGAGCUUGUCCAUGCUCUAGUAAUUUCUCGCAUGGACUAUUGUAACUCUCUCCUAAUUGGUCUUCCCAAAAGCUGUAUUGCCCCUCUACAGUCUGUAAUGACUGCUGCUUCCAGACUGAUUUUCCUCUCUAGUAAGUCUUCUCACACCUAACCCCUCUCUCAGUCUUUACAUUGGCUUCCUUUAUCCUAUAGGAGUCAAUUAAAAGUGC
This is a non-coding RNA of Pelobates cultripes (western spadefoot toad), 399 nucleotides long. The record is from the annotation of a GenBank genome assembly. NCBI's taxonomy places the organism in Eukaryota, Metazoa, Chordata, Amphibia, Anura, Pelobatidae.